This 459-nucleotide ribosomal RNA is filed under the name uncultured bacterium. RNAcentral describes it as "bacterial SSU rRNA". It matches the Rfam family "Bacterial small subunit ribosomal RNA", at positions 52 to 507 of the family's 1533-position model. The record is from RNAcentral.
CACAUGCAAGUCGAGCGGUAGAGAGGUGCUUGCAUCUCUUGAGAGCGGCGGACGGGUGAGUAAUGCCUAGGAAUCUGCCUAGUGGUGGGGGAUAACGUUCGGAAACGGACGCUAAUACCGCAUACGUCCUACGGGAGAAAGCGGGGAUCUUCGGACCUCGCGCCAUUAGAUGAGCCUAGGUCGGAUUAGCUAGUUGGUGAGGUAAUGGCUCACCAAGGCGACGAUCCGUAACUGGUCUGAGAGGAUGAUCAGUCACACUGGAACUGAGACACGGUCCAGACUCCUACGGGAGGCAGCAGUGGGGAAUAUUGGACAAUGGGCGAAAGCCUGAUCCAGCCAUGCCGCGUGUGUGAAGAAGGUCUUCGGAUUGUAAAGCACUUUAAGUUGGGAGGAAGGGUAGUAACCUAAUACGUUGCUACUUUGACGUUACCGACAGAAUAAGCACCGGCUAACUCCGUG